GCCUCUAAGACUGAAGAACUGAGACAUUUUGUCCUGGUCACUGACCACAAACCAGAGGAUAAUAAAAUGUAAUGUCUACAGAGUUUGGCCUGAAAAUGAUUUCAGCUAUUUCAGGAACACAGUCUUGGACAAUUUAUUGACACCCUGGCAAAAGAAGGAUUGUUCUCAAAUCAGUAAAUCAGUCUUCAGAAGGGGGGAAACCAAGAAAUAACUUAUGCGAACUCCUUGAUUUCAUCAUACAAGA
Molecule: long non-coding RNA, 244 nt
Filed under: Felis catus (domestic cat)
Lineage: Eukaryota; Metazoa; Chordata; Mammalia; Carnivora; Felidae
Description: lncRNA (ENSFCAG00000053807.1)
Source: RNAcentral